This 333-nucleotide unclassified non-coding RNA is filed under the name soil metagenome. RNAcentral's name for it is "partial contains 5.8S ribosomal RNA, internal transcribed spacer 2, and large subunit ribosomal RNA". The stretch from base 1 to 120 matches the Rfam family "5.8S ribosomal RNA", at positions 35 to 154 of the family's 154-position model. The record is from RNAcentral.
GAUGAAGAACGCAGUGAAAUGCGAUACGUAAUGUGAAUUGCAGAAUUCAGUGAAUCAUCGAAUCUUUGAACGCACAUUGCGCCUGCCAGCACUCUGGCAGGCAUGCCUGUUCGAGCGUCAUUUCAACCAUCAAGCCCUAGGCUUGCGUUGGAGCCCUGCGGCUGCCGCAGGCCCCUAAAAGCAGUGGCGGGCUCGCUAUCACACCGAGUGCAGUAGAUUACUCUUCGCUCAGGGCGUGUGGCGGGUUCCAGCCGUGAAACCCCCUACUUCUCAAGGUUGACCUCGGAUCAGGUAGGAAUACCCGCUGAACUUAAGCAUAUCAAUAACGGAGGA